UGGAAGCUUUAGAGAAAUUGCUUAUUCUGCUUAUUACUCUCUGGAUGGGUAUAAAGCAGACAAAGCAACUCCACAAAGCAUCCAUACAAAGUCUUUUUUAUUGGUUCAUCGGGCAUCCUUAUCAACUCACAGUUGUGACAAGGUUCUUCUUAAUGUCCAAUCCUUUGCAUAUCUGCA
This is a non-coding RNA of Notechis scutatus (mainland tiger snake), 177 nucleotides long. The record is from RefSeq and is a predicted model, not a curated record. NCBI's taxonomy places the organism in Eukaryota, Metazoa, Chordata, Lepidosauria, Squamata, Elapidae.